Long non-coding RNA from Equus caballus (horse), 1729 nucleotides. NCBI's taxonomy places the organism in Eukaryota, Metazoa, Chordata, Mammalia, Perissodactyla, Equidae. The record is from Ensembl.
ACCAACCAUAGGGGCCAGGCUUAGCCCUGCCAGCAGCCCAGCUCCCAUCAUGUGGUCAGGACGCUUCCCCUGCCUGACUGCUGGCUCCCAAUCCCAAAUACCCACAAGGGCUCUGCGGAACGAGGCCUGAAUUCCAGUGCCCCCCACCGCUGGCCUCUCCCACAACCCUGACCACUGCCUCCCCCGUCCCCUAGAAUCUGUGCCCCCAUCUGGGGUGGGGCACAAAUGCCCUCCAUUAACAACAAUAAUAAGUUGAAUGGAAAUUUUCCUCUCACAAAGUACAUCCACAUCCAUUUGCCUCCAGGACCCAGCUAGGCAGAGAGCAGAAAGUCCAUUCAAGAGAUGAGGAAACUGAGACCACAACAUACCCAAACUCACACCUGUUUUUUUCUUGAAUCUCAGCCUUUGCAUUUAUCUUGGGAAAACACAUUCCUCUUCAGCUUUGAGGCCUUGGCUUCAAGGUCACUUCAGCCAGGAGGUCCCCGGUCUCCCCAGCUGCAGGGCCUCACAUGCAGGAAGGACAUAAGGAAGAUUUGCUGAAGGAAGGACGGAAGAAAUGAAUGAGCCACCAAAGUGGCAGAUUUUCUGAUCGCCAGUCUAGUGCUGGCAGGAAGGACACUGCAAAGGACAGGGCAAAGCCGCCCAGUGCGGACAUUUCAGCUGUCGGUGCACAGGGACCCAAUGCAUGCCUGGUGUACUGACCCAAGAGCAAGCAGCUCAGCCCACCUGGGAGCAAAUUUUUGCUCAAACACUAGCCCAAGGAAGCAGAAUUGGAAAGAACAUCUGAUUUUCCAGAAUCCAGCAGAGCCUUCUAGAGCGAUUUGGGAUUAUCUGCUCCAGGGAUCACCCUGCCAGCUUUCUCCCUCCUAGACAGAUGAUUGGGAUUUGACUACAUACUAAUCUUUCUAAGCCUCAGUUUCCUCAACUGUGAAAGAGAGGGUUGGUCCUAGGUGACCCCUAAGGCCCUUCCGAGUUCUGAAGGAAGCUAUUUUAGCUGAUUCCCUGUGUGUCCUCCAUGAGGCUGGAGAAGUCCAACCACAGCUCCUUGGUGGCCAAUUCCGUGGGGACACUUGUGGGCUCCCAGCCUUGCAGGGCCCGCCUGCUCCGGCGGCUAAGCUUGUCCCUCCCCAUCCCUGAGCCAGAGCUCAGCCAGGUGCCAGGUAGAGAAAGUGAGCCUCGGAUUGGGGCAGGAGGGCAGGGGUGGGGUGUGUCCCACAGGUGAUGGGGUCGCCAGGAAGGACACAAUGUAAGGCCCACCUUUGAUUCCAUGUGUCUCGAGCUCUCUCUCUGCCUACUUCCACCCAUCACCUUAACAAACACCAUGUCAAUUUUUAAAAUUGCUUGAAAGCUGCCAUUGUGGAGAAUGUGCUCUGGGGAGCUCCCCAGAGCAGGAAAGAAUGUGCACCCCCCGCACAUCCCCACCAAGACAUAGGCACUGAGACUGCGGAGAAGACUGGCCAGGCCCUGGCAGACUCCAGCAUCCACCAGUCAUCAGCAAACAUUUACCGGGCACUUGGUGGGCACGGGUGGAGGGACAGCGAGGCAGGGGCAAAGGAAUAAAAGGUGUUGGUUAAAUUCAUUCACCAGUUAAUGAGUACCUACUGGGUGCCAGGUAUGGAGCCAGUGCCACCAUGGGGAAGCUGACAAACUGGCCUGGGAGACAGGACACCUCCUUCCCGGAAUAACCUGGAACUUUGAGACUUGGCAGAAAAGAUCGUAAAGAAAUGAG